UACAGAGGUCUCAAGCGUUUGUUCGGAUUCAUUGGGCGUAAAGGGUGUGUAGGUGGCGCGCUAAGUCGGGUGUGAAAUUUCGGAGCUUAACUCCGAAACUGCAUUCGAUACUGGCGUGCUUGAGGACUGGAGAGGAGACUGGAAUUUACGGUGUAGCAGUGAAAUGCGUAGAUAUCGUAAGGAAGACCAGUGGCGAAGGCGGGUCUCUGGACAGUUCCUGACACUGAGACACGAAGGCCCAGGGGAGCAAACGGG
Molecule: ribosomal RNA, 255 nt
Filed under: uncultured bacterium
Lineage: Bacteria
Description: partial 16S ribosomal RNA
Rfam family: Bacterial small subunit ribosomal RNA
Source: RNAcentral